CCUGAACAAUACGAAGAGGUCCGUAAUUCAGAGUUUGAAAGAGUCAAGAGGAAAAGGCUCCUCCCCACAAGAUAAACAACCCACCCACCCGUUCCCUCAAGCAAAUACAGAGGGGAAGAGGCGUCAGGCUUUGCAUCGUGCCCCGCAGGCCUACAGGUUGCCUUCUUCUGCAGUAGAGAACUCCAUCCAUGAGGACCAUCUCUUGAGAUUGCCCUGCUAUGGAUCACCCCAGGUGAGGGCUGGGGCUUUUGGACCCAUCUUGGCUUCUCCCUCACCCCUAUGCCAGAGCACAAUAAUGCCCGAGGGCCAGGCGUUAUGCGCAGCACCCCAUGGGAGCUGAUCCAGUUCCUGUUCAGCUGGUACCAAGUGUUUUCUAUGGAUGAUGACUGAAAUGUCUUCUAAACUAAUAGUGUGUCACGGUUUUGAUUUAAAAGAAAUAAAUAAAUACAAUCCAUUGACCUAGGGACCUUGAAACUUGUCCAAUCUGCCUUACAACCUGACCCCAAGACCAUUAAAGUCAGCUUAAAGUCCCCCUUUGAUUUCAUCAAACUUUAGAUUGGUCCUUUGGCAAAUGUUUCAAUUAAUCUUUGCCAGGUUUCAUGUCCGUAAUGAAAUCUAAAUUCGUGUUAGCUUUGUGCAGUUCCCAUUUUUAUAACAAAUGUUCUCGUGG
RNAcentral lists this long non-coding RNA (670 nucleotides) under Cairina moschata (Muscovy duck). RNAcentral describes it as "domestica (muscovy Duck (domestic type)) lncRNA (ENSCMMG00000015526.1)". The record is from RNAcentral. Lineage: Eukaryota; Metazoa; Chordata; Aves; Anseriformes; Anatidae.